AUGGCCUCCACUCCAUCCACCUCCGCGCUCUCCGCCGUCCUCCGGUGUCGGGGGAAGCUCUGGGCCCGGAACCCGCAGACCAAGCGGCCACAGGCGGCCUACGGACUCCGAGUCCCCGGAGCAGUACUGCGAGAAGCUCCGACCACACCAUGGGAGUCUUUCCGCCGCGGGGAGCGGGUGUUGGUGGCCGGGGGGCUGGAGCUAGAGUACCGGACUAGAACAGACUCUCACUGCGGGCCUAGGGUGAGGGAGUCCCCGGAGAGGGAGCCUCUGCUCCGGCUCAGCCCCGCUCUGAGCGGACCAACCCCAGGACUUCACUGGGGACACCGGACCGGACCCGGAUCUGCUGCGGGGGUCCUGAAGCUCACCGUCAGGUCCAAGUCCUGGUCCUGGUUCUCGGUUCAGGAUGCGGGUCGCUCCCAGUGGACGGUCCGAGGUGGAUGGUCCGGGCUGCGGGGCUCCCUGCUCUCUCUGACGGCCCUGGUGUCCUCCAUCCUCUCGGUGAGUCCAGCACUGGGAUCUGGACCCGGUAGACCCGAGGAUGGAGCUCCGUUCUCCAGCAUCCAGAACCAGGCUCAGCAGAUAAACACUUUGACUUCCUUCUCUGAUGAGACGAGCUGCAGGAGGAUCACUGAGGACCGACCCGACUGAGAAGAGUGUCCAAGGCCUCGACACACACACACACACACACACACACACUCACGCACACACGCACACACACUCACGCACACACACACACGCACACACGCACACACACUCACGCACACACACACACACACACGCACAUGCACACACACACUCACGCACACACACACACACGCACACACACACACACACACACGCACACACACACACACACACACACACACACACACACAGUCUGUAUUUACCGUCACUGUGUUUCUUUCACAAUCGAUGGACUUCAACCUGCUCAAAUACAGAAGAAACCUUCAUGAAUCAGAGACGAUCAUGUUUGACUGGAUCCUGCACGUUUGCACAGAUGCAGUAAAUAUGUGAAAUAAAUACUACUUUGAAUUGGUUGGUCCUCUUUGU
This 1053-nucleotide long non-coding RNA is filed under the name Gouania willdenowi (blunt-snouted clingfish). RNAcentral's name for it is "lncRNA (ENSGWIG00000005382.1)". The record is from RNAcentral. Lineage: Eukaryota; Metazoa; Chordata; Actinopteri; Blenniiformes; Gobiesocidae.